This 73-nucleotide transfer RNA is filed under the name Epipogium roseum. RNAcentral describes it as "tRNA-Phe". It matches the Rfam family "tRNA". Rfam says of the family: Transfer RNA (tRNA) molecules are approximately 80 nucleotides in length. Their secondary structure includes four short double-helical elements and three loops (D, anti-codon, and T loops). The record is from RNAcentral. Lineage: Eukaryota; Viridiplantae; Streptophyta; Magnoliopsida; Asparagales; Orchidaceae.
GUUGAUAUAGCUCAGUUGGUUGAGCAUAGGACUGAAAAUCCUCACGCGGCCGGCUCGAAUCCGGUUAUCAACA